Molecule: unclassified non-coding RNA, 1261 nt
Filed under: Megachile rotundata (alfalfa leafcutting bee)
Lineage: Eukaryota; Metazoa; Arthropoda; Insecta; Hymenoptera; Megachilidae
Description: regulator of microtubule dynamics protein 1-like, transcript variant X2
Source: RNAcentral
GUAAAACAACGUUCUUAGUACAAAGUAAUUUGUCGUAUUCAGAAUAUCGUUAAAGGAAUUUUUAUUCAUUCAUUUCUACGGUCUCUUAGUGUUUUAUGUUAGGUUAGGCACAUAACCAACUUCACAUCUAUAAGACUGUCAUCAAACAGCUGUGCAUACAUAAUUUGUUUACCUAAAUAAAGUUCAUUGAAAUUUGGAGAUAUUUUCUAAUUUCUGUAAAAAUAUUAUCAAUUAGUAUGUUGUUGAGAAAAGUAUUGGGUUUUGUAAGGAAUGCAAAAAUAUUGCAAAGAACAAUUACUCACAGAAAUUUUUAUUCAUCUCAAAAGAGAUAUAAUCAGAGUGCAGUAGUUACACAGUUAUUUACACUGUCUCUUACUGGUUUCUGGAGUUUUACUAAAAAGAAAAGUGAAAAUGAACCAGUUAUAACUACUAAGGAAGUCGUAAUAGGAAAGGCUGAUGCACUAUUCGAUCAAGAAAAAUAUAAGGAAAUAUAUAACCUUUUAUCAAAUUAUAAAGAUAGUGGAGAUGUUGAAAUUAUAUGGCGUUUAUGUAGAGCAAUGUAUAAAAUGGCCAAAACAGCUAGUGAAGUUGAAGCAAAAAGAAUUAUUUAUGAAGCUUAUGAUUUAAUACUUAAAGCCCUCAGAGUAAAUGAAAAUCAUUGGGCUGUGCAUAAAUGGACAUCAAUUCUUCUCAAUACUAAAUGCAGUUAUGAAGGCACGAAAGCACAAAUUAAGGAAUCAUAUAACAUUAAACAUCAUAUGCUGAAAGCAAUAGAACUUAAUCCGCAGGAUGCAACAGUUCUGUACAUGUUAGGCACUUGGUGUUUUCAAGUAGCUGACUUGUCAUGGUAUCAAAGGAAAAUUGCAUCGAUAAUAUUUGGAGAACCACCAACUUCUUCAUAUCAGGAAGCUUUACAAUACUUUGAAAAUGCAGAAAAAGUCGAUCCUAAUUUUUACAGCCACAACUUAUUAAUGCUGGCAAAAACAUAUUUAAAAUUACAAAACACAGAACUGGCUACAAAAUAUUUGUUAAUGACCAUUGAAUAUCCUGCUAAAAAUGAUGAUGAUCUGAUUGCUAAGCAAGAAGCACAGAAGUUGCUAAAGGAUGUUUAAUGUGAUCUCAGUAAAGUUUCCAUAUGUCUCGCACAAAUAACUGUAUUAUUUUCAAGUAUUGAGUUUUAAUGAAGAAGAAAAUAUACCAUACACUGUGAUUUUUCACAUAUAGCUCUCUAUAAAUAUAUAUAUAUAUUUCUAUGUGUUUU